This 282-nucleotide long non-coding RNA is filed under the name Phasianus colchicus (ring-necked pheasant). RNAcentral describes it as "lncRNA (ENSPCLG00000012932.1)". The record is from RNAcentral. Lineage: Eukaryota; Metazoa; Chordata; Aves; Galliformes; Phasianidae.
CAGAAACCUGAGGAUUCAUCUUUUCCAACUGCUCUGAUUGCCUUUCGCUGAUGAUGGAAGAAGGAAGGAAGGAAGUAGCCAUCAGGGACCCCCGUCUCAGUGCAGUAUUCUGUCAGCAGCCUCUCAGCGAUGUGCCACCCAUCGCGCUCUGCUCCCAGCUUACCAUGGAACCAAUCCUGUGUGAGAUGCAGCUCGAUGUUGGUGCUCACCUCCUUCUAUACAGUGCUGUACUGAACUGACUUAACGCUUGAAGCACUCCAACAGACUCUGCUGCCUCUCCCU